AGGGCACCACCAGGAGUGGAGCCUGCGGCUUAAUUUGACUCAACACGGGAAAACUUACCCGGCCCGGACACUGGAAGGAUUGACAGAUUGAGAGCUCUUUCUUGAUUCAGUGGGUGGUGGUGCAUGGCCGUUCUUAGCUGGUGGAGCGAUUUGUCUGGUUAAUUCCGAUAACGAACGAGACUCUAGCCUACUAAAUAGACUGUUCAGCUUUAUAGCCGGAAUCACCGGGCAUGUAGCUCUCACGGGUUGCAUGUUCGGCUCUGGUGACGUUGGCAGUGCUUCUUAGAGGGACAGGCGGCGGUUCAGCCGCACGAAACAGAGCAAUAACAGGUCUGUGAUGCCCUUAGAUGUCCGGGGCUGCACGCGCGCUACACUGAAGUGAUCAGCGUGCAAUUUACGUUUGGUGAUCUGUCAAGAUUGCCCAACCCGUUGAACCUUCUUCGUGAUUGGGAUAGGGGAUUGUAAUUAUUCCCCUUGAACGAGGAAUUCCCAGUAAGCGCAAGUCAUAAGCUUGCGUUG
Molecule: ribosomal RNA, 519 nt
Filed under: uncultured eukaryote
Lineage: Eukaryota
Description: bacterial SSU rRNA
Rfam family: Eukaryotic small subunit ribosomal RNA
Source: RNAcentral